UUUCGAUGGAGAGUUUGAUCCUGGCUCAGGACGAACGCUGGCGGCGUGCUUAACACAUGCAAGUCGAGCGGAAAGGCCACUUCGGUGGUACUCGAGCGG
Molecule: ribosomal RNA, 99 nt
Filed under: Nocardioides currus
Lineage: Bacteria; Bacillati; Actinomycetota; Actinomycetes; Propionibacteriales; Nocardioidaceae
Description: partial 16S ribosomal RNA
Rfam family: Bacterial small subunit ribosomal RNA
Source: RNAcentral